GACGAACGCUGGCGGCGUGCUUAACACAUGCAAGUCGAGCGGUAAGGCCCAGCUUGCUGGGUACACGAGCGGCGAACGGGUGAGUAACACGUGGGUGACCUGCCCUCAGCUCUGGGAUAAGCCUGGGAAACUGGGUCUAAUACCGGAUGUUCACUUUCUGCUGCAUGGUGGGGAGUAGAAAGUUUUUCGGCUGGGGAUGGGCCCGCGGCCUAUCAGCUUGUUGGUGGGGUGAUGGCCUACCAAGGCGACGACGGGUAGCCGGCCUGAGAGGGCGACCGGCCACACUGGGACUGAGACACGGCCCAGACUCCUACGGGAGGCAGCAGUGGGGAAUAUUGCGCAAUGGGCGGGAGCCUGACGCAGCGACGCCGCGUGGGGAUGACGGCCU
Molecule: ribosomal RNA, 388 nt
Filed under: uncultured bacterium
Lineage: Bacteria
Description: bacterial SSU rRNA
Rfam family: Bacterial small subunit ribosomal RNA
Source: RNAcentral